RNAcentral lists this ribosomal RNA (1057 nucleotides) under uncultured bacterium. RNAcentral's name for it is "bacterial SSU rRNA". It matches the Rfam family "Bacterial small subunit ribosomal RNA", at positions 338 to 1397 of the family's 1533-position model. The record is from RNAcentral.
CCUACGGGAGGCAGCAGUAAGGAAUAUUGGACAAUGCCCGCAAGGGUGAUCCAGCCAUGCCGCGUGCAGGAAGACGGCCCUAUGGGUUGUAAACUGCUUUUACACCGGAGAAAACCUCCCCUCGUGAGGGGAGCUGAUAGUAUGGUGAGAAUAAGCAUCGGCUAACUUCGUGCCAGCAGCCGCGGUAAGACGAAGGAUGCAAGCGUUAUCCGGAUUCAUUGGGUUUAAAGGGAGCGUAGGUGGCCUUAUAAGUCAGUGGUUGAAAUCUCUGGGCUUAACCCAGAAAUUGCCAUUGAUACUGUAGGGCUUGAGUAUAGUUGCCGUUGGCGGAAUAUGACAUGUAGUGGUGAAAUACAUAGAGAUGUCAUAGAACACCGAUUGCGAAGGCAGCUGACGAAACUAUAACUGACACUGAGGCUCGAAAGUGCGGGGAUCAAACAGGAUUAGAUACCCUGGUAGUCCGCACUGUAAACGAUGAUUACUCGCUGCUAGAGGGCAACUUUUAGUGGCUUAGCGAAAGCGAUAAGUAAUCCACCUGGGGAGUACGCCGGCAACGGUGAAACUCAAAGGAAUUGACGGGGGCCCGCACAAGCGGAGGAGCAUGUGGUUUAAUUCGAUGAUACGCGAGGAACCUUACCAGGGCUUGAAAGUUAGGGAAUGAUUCUGAAAGGAGUCAGUCAGCAAUGACCCGAAACUAGGUGCUGCAUGGCUGUCGUCAGCUCGUGCCGUGAGGUGUUGGGUUAAGUCCCGCAACGAGCGCAACCCCUACCAUUAGUUGCCAGCGGUUCGGCCGGGGACUCUAGUGGAACUGCCCGCGCAAGCGGUGAGGAAGGUGGGGAUGACGUCAAGUCAUCACGGCCCUUACGUCCUGGGCUACACACGUGCUACAAUGGCUAUUACAGAGGGCAGCUACAUGGCAACAUGAUGCAAAUCUUCAAAAAUAGUCUCAGUUCGGAUUGGGGUCUGCAACUCGACCCCAUGAAGCUGGAUUCGCUAGUAAUCGCGCAUCAGCAAUGGCGCGGUGAAUACGUUCCCGGGCCUUGUACACACCGCCCGU